RNAcentral lists this ribosomal RNA (944 nucleotides) under uncultured bacterium. RNAcentral's name for it is "bacterial SSU rRNA". It matches the Rfam family "Bacterial small subunit ribosomal RNA", at positions 48 to 984 of the family's 1533-position model. The record is from RNAcentral.
CUUACACAUGCAAGUCGAGGGGCAGCGGGAUUGAAGCUUGCUUCAAUUGCCGGCGACCGGCGCACGGGUGAGUAACGCGUAUCCAACCUUCCGUACACUCAGGGAUAGCCUUUCGAAAGAAAGAUUAAUACCUGAUGGUAUGAUGAGAUUGCAUGAUAGCAUCAUUAAAGAUUCAUCGGUGUACGAUGGGGAUGCGUUCCAUUAGGUAGUAGGCGGGGUAACGGCCCACCUAGCCUACGAUGGAUAGGGGUUCUGAGAGGAAGGUCCCCCACAUUGGAACUGAGACACGGUCCAAACUCCUACGGGAGGCAGCAGUGAGGAAUAUUGGUCAAUGGACGAGAGUCUGAACCAGCCAAGUAGCGUGAAGGAUGAAGGUCCUACGGAUUGUAAACUUCUUUUAUAAGGGAAUAAAACCUCCCACGUGUGGGAGCUUGUAUGUACCUUAUGAAUAAGCAUCGGCUAACUCCGUGCCAGCAGCCGCGGUAAUACGGAGGAUGCGAGCGUUAUCCGGAUUUAUUGGGUUUAAAGGGAGCGCAGACGGGUCGUUAAGUCAGCUGUGAAAGUUUGGGGCUCAACCUUAAAAUUGCAGUUGAUACUGGCGUCCUUGAGUGCGGUUGAGGUGUGCGGAAUUCGUGGUGUAGCGGUGAAAUGCUUAGAUAUCACGAAGAACUCCGAUUGCGAAGGCAGCACACUAAGCCGUAACUGACGUUCAUGCUCGAAAGUGUGGGUAUCAAACAGGAUUAGAUACCCUGGUAGUCCACACGGUAAACGAUGGAUACUCGCUGUUGGCGAUAUACUGUCAGCGGCUUAGCGAAAGCGUUAAGUAUCCCACCUGGGGAGUACGCCGGCAACGGUGAAACUCAAAGGAAUUGACGGGGGCCCGCACAAGCGGAGGAACAUGUGGUUUAAUUCGAUGAUACGCGAGGAACCUUACCCGGGCUUAA